Mugil cephalus (flathead mullet) is the source of this 1090-nucleotide long non-coding RNA. RefSeq lists it as uncharacterized. The transcript has 2 exons. NCBI's taxonomy places the organism in Eukaryota, Metazoa, Chordata, Actinopteri, Mugiliformes, Mugilidae. The record is from RefSeq and is a predicted model, not a curated record.
UGUAGCUUUCCGUAAAAAAAAAAGCUUGUAAGACUUGUUCAAACGUGUCGCUUUGUGGAGGAACCAUUGGCCUUUUUGGACUAACAGCAAACCAGGACUCUACGGUCUCCAACUUUGGCCUCGGACAUGUGCAACUUUUCGUGAAAGGAAAUGCUGGAGUUAGCAUUUUGCUCAGCUAGCUACCUAGUUCAGGCGCCCCUUGGCCUGAGCUCGGGCACCUCGGGCGGUUUGAGGAUUUGCUGGAGGCGAGAGCUGCGCGGGGAAAGGCCCGGGGCAGGUCUGAGACAUCAAACGCCGGUGGAGAGAGAGAGAGGGAGAGGCCGUCAUCAAUCAUCUCUCCUCCAGGACGCGCUGCUGGAACGAGCACCAUCAGAUCUGGCUUCUCCUGACUACUGAUUAUUAUUUCAUAAAGCAUCCAUUAAUGAGUAACUCGCUAAUCCUUUUUUUCCUCCCCAUCUUUUACAGUCUUCUCACAUGAAAAUCUUUGGCGAAUUCCUAUUCGAGGCCAGUAGUGUCAAAUGCAAAUUUAUUUAGAAUUUAAACAACAGAUUAAAAGGAUUUAAAACAUUUAAAAGUUAAACCUGAGAGCAGGGCAAAUUAGAGUGUGGUUGUGGGUGAGGCUGCUGAAAACCACUGCGUCCUGACGCCCUGCCAUGGCCUCUUGACAGUCCACCCCCGUGUAGAUGGGUAGCCACAAAUGAGCUCAUUUAAAACGAGACUGUUGCCGCGGUGAGGCUAAAAGUCAGACAGCCAGCUCUGACAGGUGUCAAGGUGCCCAAUAGCAUCCUCUGCAAGGACACUGUACUGCACUCCUUUUACCUUCAAGUGCCAUAAAGUACACAGAGAGGUGGAUUAAUUGGUGCAGGAAAUGGAGUAGUUAGCCAUUAUGGGUUCUUUUGUCAGUGAGACGCGUAAUAUAUUUGAAUAACAUUUGCUGUCAGAGCAGGUGGCAGUCGCAUUAUUAUUUUUAUGAGGUGAAAUUUCACCUUGUGACUCCGACAAGACUCGGUAAUGGGUUUGAUUGUACCUUGAGCUUCGUAAUGUCCUGCUCGGAGAACAGUCAGCAUUAAUUAAACGUCUUUAAUUACUU